This 2900-nucleotide ribosomal RNA is filed under the name Klebsiella pneumoniae. Its description in RNAcentral is "bacterial LSU rRNA". It matches the Rfam family "Bacterial large subunit ribosomal RNA". The record is from RNAcentral. Lineage: Bacteria; Pseudomonadati; Pseudomonadota; Gammaproteobacteria; Enterobacterales; Enterobacteriaceae.
UUAAGCGACUAAGCGUACACGGUGGAUGCCCUGGCAGUCAGAGGCGAUGAAGGACGUGCUAAUCUGCGAAAAGCGUCGGUAAGGUGAUAUGAACCGUUACAGCCGGCGAUGUCCGAAUGGGGAAACCCAGUGCAAUUCGUUGCACUAUCGUUAACUGAAUACAUAGGUUAACGAGGCGAACCGGGGGAACUGAAACAUCUAAGUACCCCGAGGAAAAGAAAUCAACCGAGAUUCCCCCAGUAGCGGCGAGCGAACGGGGAGCAGCCCAGAGUCUGAAUCAGCUUGUGUGUUAGUGGAACGGUCUGGAAAGUCCGACGGUACAGGGUGAUAGUCCCGUACACCAAAAUGCACAGGCUGUGAACUCGAAGAGUAGGGCGGGACACGUGGUAUCCUGUCUGAAUAUGGGGGGACCAUCCUCCAAGGCUAAAUACUCCUGACUGACCGAUAGUGAACCAGUACCGUGAGGGAAAGGCGAAAAGAACCCCGGCGAGGGGAGUGAAAAAGAACCUGAAACCGUGUACGUACAAGCAGUGGGAGCACCUUCGGGUGUGACUGCGUACCUUUUGUAUAAUGGGUCAGCGACUUAUAUUCUGUAGCAAGGUUAACCGUAUAGGGGAGCCGCAGGGAAACCGAGUCUUAACUGGGCGUUAAGUUGCAGGGUAUAGACCCGAAACCCGGUGAUCUAGCCAUGGGCAGGUUGAAGGUUGGGUAACACUAACUGGAGGACCGAACCGACUAAUGUUGAAAAAUUAGCGGAUGACUUGUGGCUGGGGGUGAAAGGCCAAUCAAACCGGGAGAUAGCUGGUUCUCCCCGAAAGCUAUUUAGGUAGCGCCUCGUGAACUCAUCUUCGGGGGUAGAGCACUGUUUCGGCUAGGGGGUCAUCCCGACUUACCAACCCGAUGCAAACUACGAAUACCGAAGAAUGUUAUCACGGGAGACACACGGCGGGUGCUAACGUCCGUCGUGAAGAGGGAAACAACCCAGACCGCCAGCUAAGGUCCCAAAGUCAUGGUUAAGUGGGAAACGAUGUGGGAAGGCACAGACAGCCAGGAUGUUGGCUUAGAAGCAGCCAUCAUUUAAAGAAAGCGUAAUAGCUCACUGGUCGAGUCGGCCUGCGCGGAAGAUGUAACGGGGCUAAACCAUGCACCGAAGCUGCGGCAGCGACACUAUGUGUUGUUGGGUAGGGGAGCGUUCUGUAAGCCUGCGAAGGUGUGCUGUGAGGCAUGCUGGAGGUAUCAGAAGUGCGAAUGCUGACAUAAGUAACGAUAAAGCGGGUGAAAAGCCCGCUCGCCGGAAGACCAAGGGUUCCUGUCCAACGUUAAUCGGGGCAGGGUGAGUCGACCCCUAAGGCGAGGCCGAAAGGCGUAGUCGAUGGGAAACAGGUUAAUAUUCCUGUACUUGGUGUUACUGCGAAGGGGGGACGGAGAAGGCUAUGUUAGCCGGGCGACGGUUGUCCCGGUUUAAGCAUGUAGGCUGAUUGUCCAGGCAAAUCCGGAUAAUCAAGGCUGAGGUGUGAUGACGAGGCACUACGGUGCUGAAGUAACAAAUGCCCUGCUUCCAGGAAAAGCCUCUAAGCAUCAGGUAACAUCAAAUCGUACCCCAAACCGACACAGGUGGUCAGGUAGAGAAUACCAAGGCGCUUGAGAGAACUCGGGUGAAGGAACUAGGCAAAAUGGUGCCGUAACUUCGGGAGAAGGCACGCUGGUGUGUAGGUGAAGUCCCUGCGGAUGGAGCUGAGACCAGUCGAAGAUACCAGCUGGCUGCAACUGUUUAUUAAAAACACAGCACUGUGCAAACACGAAAGUGGACGUAUACGGUGUGACGCCUGCCCGGUGCCGGAAGGUUAAUUGAUGGGGUUAUCCGUAAGGAGAAGCUCUUGAUCGAAGCCCCGGUAAACGGCGGCCGUAACUAUAACGGUCCUAAGGUAGCGAAAUUCCUUGUCGGGUAAGUUCCGACCUGCACGAAUGGCGUAAUGAUGGCCAGGCUGUCUCCACCCGAGACUCAGUGAAAUUGAACUCGCUGUGAAGAUGCAGUGUACCCGCGGCAAGACGGAAAGACCCCGUGAACCUUUACUAUAGCUUGACACUGAACAUUGAGCCUUGAUGUGUAGGAUAGGUGGGAGGCUUUGAAGCGUGGACGCCAGUCUGCGUGGAGCCAACCUUGAAAUACCACCCUUUAAUGUUUGAUGUUCUAACGUUGGCCCCUGACCGGGGUUGCGGACAGUGUCUGGUGGGUAGUUUGACUGGGGCGGUCUCCUCCCAAAGCGUAACGGAGGAGCACGAAGGUUAGCUAAUCCUGGUCGGACAUCAGGAGGUUAGUGCAAUGGCAUAAGCUAGCUUGACUGCGAGCGUGACGGCGCGAGCAGGUGCGAAAGCAGGUCAUAGUGAUCCGGUGGUUCUGAAUGGAAGGGCCAUCGCUCAACGGAUAAAAGGUACUCCGGGGAUAACAGGCUGAUACCGCCCAAGAGUUCAUAUCGACGGCGGUGUUUGGCACCUCGAUGUCGGCUCAUCACAUCCUGGGGCUGAAGUAGGUCCCAAGGGUAUGGCUGUUCGCCAUUUAAAGUGGUACGCGAGCUGGGUUUAGAACGUCGUGAGACAGUUCGGUCCCUAUCUGCCGUGGGCGCUGGAGAAUUGAGGGGGGCUGCUCCUAGUACGAGAGGACCGGAGUGGACGCAUCACUGGUGUUCGGGUUGUCAUGCCAAUGGCACUGCCCGGUAGCUAAAUGCGGAAGAGAUAAGUGCUGAAAGCAUCUAAGCACGAAACUUGCCCCGAGAUGAGUUCUCCCUGAGACUUUAAGUCUCCUGAAGGAACGUUGAAGACGACGACGUUGAUAGGCCGGGUGUGUAAGCGCAGCGAUGCGUUGAGCUAACCGGUACUAAUGAACCGUGAGGCUUAACCUU